GCUUUAAUUCUUGCUUCAAAUUCAACAUGGCAGAAUGGAGGAGUCACACUGGACCCAUUCAGAGAAAAAUCAACUAAAGAUACAGUUAACAGUCAGCUCCAGAUUUGAGGAAAUUGAAGAAUGUGCAGGAACUUUUACUUCCAUUGCAGGUCCCAAAGAUGAGGACUCCAGUAAGGUACCCAGUGGAAGCGCCUCUCAGCAGGCAUCGGCCGACUUCAGGAGGCUCCUGAUCAACAGAAGCAAGACUGUACAGCUGGACCAUCUUCAAGGAGACUGGAAUUAGACUUCCUCUUUUGAUCUGAAGACCAUGAAAAAAUUUGAGGAUAUGUUUCUAAACCAUUACAGAAAUCUUCGAGAAGAAAUGGACAGCAAGCAAAGACACUGUGGAACAAAGUACACUGGCUGGAGAGGGAAAUAAAUUCACAUGAGGUUCGAUAUAAGCACCACUCUCUGGCUCUGAUGCCUCUUUGAUGUGGAGGGUAAGCCCAGCAGCAUCUCCGUAGCACCUUCAGACCUUCAGGAUCUUUUAUUUAUUUACUUAUUUAUUUAUUUAUUUAUUUAUUAUUUAUUUAUUUAUUUUGAGACAAAGUCUUGCUAUGCAGUUCAGGCUAUCCUUGAACUCACUAUGUAACCCACAGUGGCCUUGAAAUUGCAGCGAUCUUCCUGUUUUAGCCUCCCGAGUGCUGAGAUUACAGGUGUGCACCACCACACCUGGCUACCUUCAGGAUCUUGAUGACCCUGCACUUUAGGCUUCAGGGCGAGGCUAUCACUGUUUUUCAUGUUGAGGAAAAGACGUCAAGAUUUUGAAUACAGAACUGUGGGACCAAAGCUUAGCUGUUGAGAAUAAAGCUCUUUCUCUGCAUUUGAAGGCUGCUUUCUGCUCUUGGCAGAGAAAUAAAUCUAUAUAAAAGCAACCAUGAGGAAAAUAAAAAAGACUAUAAAUCCUCAAGCCACCAGACAAAAAUGCUAACAUGUGUGCACACACAUGCAUAUCAAAGAAAUCAGCUGGGGAUUUAGUUCAGUGGCGCUGCGCCUGCCUCGAAAUUGCAAGGUCUUGAGUUCGAUAACUGGUACCGAAAAUAAAUAAAUGAAUGAAUGAAUAAAUAAAUAAAUAGAAAGAAAAGAAAACAAGAAAUGCAUGUAGUGAAACAUGGGAGACAGAGGAAACACUGAAAUAGAAAAAGAAGAUGAAAGAAUUAGGGCUAAUAUACCAGUGAUACCAACAAAUGAAAAUGGGAUAAGCUUGUCCUACGACAGAAAAAAGAUUCCUAUAUCACGUGAUAAAACAAUAUUCUACUCCAGGCAUGAUGAGCACCUGUGAUCCUAGCACCCCAGAGGCUGAGGCAGGAGGAUCUCCAUGAGUUCGAGGCCAGCCUGAACUGCAAAGUGAGACCCUGUCUGAAGAAAAUAACCAAAAUAAACAAACAAACAAGAAAGUGUCCUUUUUGUGAGUUGUAUACAAACGAUACACCUUUACCAAAAUAACUCAGAAAGGUUUAAAAAUAAAAGAUAAACCAAAGUACAUCAGAAAAUACCAAGUUGAAGCUGUAAUGUAACCAUCAACCAAACUUAUAUUAAAAUAAUGUUAUUGCUGGGUGUAGUGGUCCACACCUUAGGAGGCUGAGUCAAGAGGAUCACAAGUUCAUAGCCUGCACAAUUUUGGGAACUUGCCUCAAAAUAAAAUUUUAAAAAAGCUGGGGAUGUAGUUUAGUGUUAUGCUUGCCUAGAGCACGUGAGCCCCUAGGUUCAAUCCUCAGUAACUAAAAAAAAAAAAAUUAAAAAGUAAAAUGUUAACAUAAGAAAAAAAGUCAAAAGGAAUUUAAACAAGAAAAAGAGAGUUUUAUCACCUGCUGCACAAGCACAAGGACCUGAGUUCGAUCCCCAGUACCAAAAAAAAAAGAGAGCAUUAUUCACUGUAAGAAUCUGGUUUUCAGCUGGAGAUAGUAGCUGAAGUCAGCACUCAGGAGGCUGAGGCAGGAGAAAUCACCAUGAGUUCAAGGUCAC
This is a non-coding RNA of Heterocephalus glaber (naked mole-rat), 2004 nucleotides long. NCBI's taxonomy places the organism in Eukaryota, Metazoa, Chordata, Mammalia, Rodentia, Bathyergidae. The record is from RefSeq and is a predicted model, not a curated record.